Molecule: ribosomal RNA, 406 nt
Filed under: uncultured bacterium
Lineage: Bacteria
Description: partial 16S ribosomal RNA
Rfam family: Bacterial small subunit ribosomal RNA
Source: RNAcentral
AUUGAACGCUGGCGGCAGGCCUAACACAUGAAAGUAGAACGAGUGGCGGACGGGUGAGUAAUGUCUGGGAAACUGCCUGAUGGAGGGGGAUAAAUAAUGGAAACGGUAGCUAAUACCGCAUACCAUCAGAUGUGCCCAGAUGGGAUUAGCUAGUAGGUGGGGUAAUGGCUCACCUAGGCGACGAUCCCUAGCUGGUCUGAGAGGAUGACCCGCCACACUGGAACUGAGACACGGUCCAGACUCCUCCUGGUGGCAGCCGUUGGUAAUAUUGCACAAUUGGCGCAAGCCUGAUGCAUCCAUGCCGCGUGUGUGAAGAAGGCCUUCGGGUUUUAAAGCACUUUCAGCGAGGAGGCGUUACUCGCAGAAGAAGCACCGGCUAACUCCGUGCCAGCAGCCGCGGUAAUAC